Molecule: ribosomal RNA, 320 nt
Filed under: uncultured eukaryote
Lineage: Eukaryota
Description: partial 18S ribosomal RNA
Rfam family: Eukaryotic small subunit ribosomal RNA
Source: RNAcentral
CCCCUAGAUGUUCUGGGCCGCACGCGCGCUACACUGAACAGUUCAACAAGUCUUAACCUUGGCCGAUAGGUCUGGGUAAUCUUUGAACGCUGUUCGUGAUUGGGAUAGACCUUUGCAAUUAUGGGUCUUCAACGAGGAAUUCCUAGUAAACGCAAGUCAUCAGCUUGCAUUGAUUACGUCCCUGCCCUUUGUACACACCGCCCGUCGCACCUACCGAUUGAAUGGUCCGGUGAAAUCUCGGGACGGCGGCUUGGUCGCUUGCGUCCGACUACUGAAACUUGAUUAAACCAUAUCAUUUAGAGGAAGGUGAANUCGUANCA